RNAcentral lists this ribosomal RNA (468 nucleotides) under uncultured bacterium. RNAcentral describes it as "partial 16S ribosomal RNA". It matches the Rfam family "Bacterial small subunit ribosomal RNA", at positions 28 to 507 of the family's 1533-position model. The record is from RNAcentral.
GACGAACGCUGGCGGCGUGCUUAACACAUGCCAGUCGAACGGAAACGCCCUGCUUUUGUGGGGUGCUCUAGUGGCGAACGGGUGAGUAACACGUGAGUAACCUGCCCUUGACUUUGGGAUAACUUCAGGAAACUGGGGCUAAUACCGGAUAGGAGCUCCUGCUGCAUGUUGGGGGUUGGAAAGUUUCGGCGGUUGGGGAUGGACUCGCGGCUUAUCAGCUUGUUGGUGGGGUAGUGGCUUACCAAGGCUUUGACGGGUAGCCGGCCUGAGAGAGUGACCGCCCACAUUGGGACUGAGAUACGGCCCAGACUCUUACGGGGGGCAGAAGUGGGGAAAAUUGCACAAUGGGCGGAAGCCUGAUGCAGCAACGCCGCGUGCGGGAUGACGGCCUUCUGGUUGUAAACCGCUUUCGCCUGUGACGAAGCGUGAGUGACGGUAAUGGGUAAAGAAGCACCGGCUAACUACGUG